AUGUGCCUAUGGCGGUUUGCUGUCAAAAGCUAAGCUAUCUUGUCUUCGAAAAUUACAAAUGAAUUCAUAGUCUGAGGAAACGUGAAAGUCGUGUCGUGCAGCCGACCGUCAACUAUUUUGUUCAAACUCAUUCUAGUCUACUGAAUGUGCCGUCGAAAUGAUACUGAAUUCAUCUUAAUUAUUGGCUGUAUCUAUUGGACUUGCUAGAUCACCAACCCCAGAAUGGACCAUUCUCUCAUUCCAUUUUCUAGAGAGCCUUGGAUAACUGAUCAAUGGAUUAUCAUGUAUAUAGAUAUUUUCUUACAGAGCACGCAGUUUCUUUGUGGAAUCGUGUGGUCAUGGCACGGAUAUUCUUGAGCCAACGCUGGCUUUUUUCCAUGACCAACGUUCUGCUCCAUCCUUAUCUUCCCGACGUAAGCUCAUCCAGCUUCUGCUUCAUCGCUUCGUACACAAAAAUCCAACUUUUCUUACUUCACUGACGAGUUUGAACACUUCAGUGGUCGCUUCCGUGCCGCUGCUACACACCUGCAGUCACUCACCACGGGAUUAUGCCCAGGUAAUGCAGAGGAGACGUCGAGAAGAUGGACAGCAAAACAUCUCCGUUAUCUCCAAAAUAUCAGCGCAGAUCAUCAUUUGUUGUUGGUAUUAUUUGUGUUUGUGUUAAGUUAACCCGUUGGCUGCCACGCCUUUGUUCUCCCCUAGCUCCUUAGCACGGGCCACGCUGUUUGGGCUCGUGGUUUUCAUGCCGCUGGGUCGGAGAGUCGCACCAGCCCUAGAUUCGCCGAAAGGCCCCGUUAGGCAAUGCACCAUAGUUCCCCCCUUGUCGAUGCGGUGAUGGAUUCUAGAGGUUGUGCAUUCCAUCUUCUCCUGUCACCGUGUCAGCCCGGA
Molecule: long non-coding RNA, 888 nt
Organism: Daphnia pulicaria
Lineage: Eukaryota; Metazoa; Arthropoda; Branchiopoda; Diplostraca; Daphniidae
Exons: 5
Source: RefSeq, a predicted model, not a curated record